UUAAGUUCAGCGGGUAUCCCUACCUGAUCCGAGGUCAACCUUGUAGUUAAGAUUCUCCCUAAAAGGGGAGGCAGACCGUGCCCCGCGCACCCUUACUCCAGUACGUGUCCCGUGAAGAACUCAGUGUACCGGGGGUCCAACGAGGCCGCCGUCAUUGUCUUUGGGAGGGGCGAGAGCCCCCGAGGGGGCCUCCGCCAAAC
This 200-nucleotide unclassified non-coding RNA is filed under the name Veronaea sp. RNAcentral's name for it is "partial internal transcribed spacer 2". Lineage: Eukaryota; Fungi; Ascomycota; Eurotiomycetes; Chaetothyriales; Herpotrichiellaceae. The record is from RNAcentral.